UCCAGAUCAAUAUCACAACAAAAUUGGAAAAGAAAAUGUUUCUUCCCUAGAUUAUAAUCGUAUCCCUCGAUGCGGAUGCAAUAGAUUUGCUAACGUUGUACGCAUAUCCUGGAAUUGCACCACACUAGCCAUAAAAAAAACAACCCACCACACACAGAUAUACUACAUCCUUGAUUCCUCCUCCAAAUCCACUUGCCACACCACCUCUUCCCCACUCGUAAGUGACAGCAUCGCCAAAUCUUCCUCCAUCUCCCAAGCUACUGUCGUCAGAACAACCCAGACAUAACUACAG
This 292-nucleotide long non-coding RNA is filed under the name Gossypium raimondii (Peruvian cotton). Its description in RNAcentral is "long non-coding RNA (GRAI_LNC002287)". Lineage: Eukaryota; Viridiplantae; Streptophyta; Magnoliopsida; Malvales; Malvaceae. The record is from RNAcentral.